RNAcentral lists this ribosomal RNA (201 nucleotides) under uncultured bacterium. RNAcentral describes it as "partial 16S ribosomal RNA". It matches the Rfam family "Bacterial small subunit ribosomal RNA", at positions 1300 to 1500 of the family's 1533-position model. The record is from RNAcentral.
GCAGGCUGCAACCCGCCUGUAUGAAGUUGGAAUCGCUAGUAAUCGCGGAUCAGCAUGCCGCGGUGAAUACGUUCCCGGGCCUUGUACACACCGCCCGUCACACCAUGAGAGUCGGGAACACCCGAAGUCCGUAGCCUAACCGCAAGGGGGGCGCGGCCGAAGGUGGGUUCGAUAAUUGGGGUGAAGUCGUAACAAGGUACC